Molecule: ribosomal RNA, 393 nt
Filed under: uncultured bacterium
Lineage: Bacteria
Description: bacterial SSU rRNA
Rfam family: Bacterial small subunit ribosomal RNA
Source: RNAcentral
GACGAACGCUGGCGGCGUGCUUAACACAUGCAAGUCGAACGGAAAGGCCCUUCGGGGUACUCGAGUGGCGAACGGGUGAGUAACACGUGGGUGAUCUGCCCUGCACUCUGGGAUAAGCCUGGGAAACUGGGUCUAAUACCGGAUAUGAUCAUGCGCCUCAUGGUGUGUGGUGGAAAGCUUUUGCGGUGUGGGAUGGGCCCGCGGCCUAUCAGCUUGUUGGUGGGGUAAUGGCCUACCAAGGCGACGACGGGUAGCCGGCCUGAGAGGGUGACCGGCCACACUGGGACUGAGAUACGGCCCAGACUCCUACGGGAGGCAGCAGUGGGGAAUAUGGCACAAUGGGCGCAAGCCUGAUGCAGCGACGCCGCGUGGGGGAGUGACGGCCUUCGGUUG